Molecule: long non-coding RNA, 1557 nt
Organism: Pungitius pungitius (ninespine stickleback)
Lineage: Eukaryota; Metazoa; Chordata; Actinopteri; Perciformes; Gasterosteidae
Exons: 5
Source: RefSeq, a predicted model, not a curated record
UUGAAUGAGACUUGUGUUCAGGGUGGGGACACAAACAGGCGUUUGUUUUCUCUUUUUGUAUCUUUAAUUCUCUUAUUGUGUCUUUUUUCUUCUUAAUGUGUCUUCCUUUUCCUUAUCUAACCGUUCCUCAUAAACUCAGAGUGUGGACAUUCAGAGACUCUUUGUGCUGCACGUCGCCGCGUUGUCAUGACGACAGACAGCCCCGGUUCGGGAGCCGUCUAUAGUGUGCUCCGUUACACACACACACACACACCUUCACACACCUUCACACACCUCCACCUGACGGGGACUUGUGUCCACGGCCAGUCAGAGGUCAGACAUGUAACUAAGUCCCGAUGGUUUGAUAAUUAAACUGUAGAGACGUGAAGUGAGAAUAGUGGACAUCAGGGGACAAUGAGACGUGAUGAAGAGACAGUGAGAACAGAAUAGUGGACAUCAGGUGACAAUGAGACGUGAUGAAGAAGUAGAGACAGUGAGAACAUAACAGUGGACAUCAGGGGACAAUGAGACGUGAUGAAGAAACAGUGAGAACAGAAUAGUGGACAUCAGGGGACAAUGAGACGUGAUGAAGAAGUAGAGACAGUGAGAACAUAACAGUGGACAUCAGGGGACAAUGAGACGUGAUGAAGAAGUAGAGACAGUGAGAACAUAAUAGUGGACAUCAGGGGACAAUGAGGCGUGAUGAAGAAGUAGAGACAGUGAGAACAGAAUAGUGGACAUCAGGGGACAAUGAGACGUGAUGAAGAAGUAGAGACAGUGAGAACAGAAUAGUGGACAUCAGGGGACAAUGAGACGUGAUGAAGAAGUAGAGACAGUGAGAACAUAACAGUGGACAUCAGGGGACAAUGAGACGUGAUGAAGAAGUAGAGACAGUGAGAACAUAACAGUGGACAUCAGGGGACAAUGAGGCGUGAUGAAGAAACAGUGAGAACAUAACAGUGGACAUCAGGGGACAAUGAGACGUGAUGAAGAAGUAGAGACAGUGAGAACAUAACAGUGGACAUCAGGGGACAAUGAGACGUGAUGAAGAAACAGUGAGAACAGAAUAGUGGACAUCAGGGGACAAUGAGACGUGAUGAAGAAACAGUGAGAACAGAAUAGUGGACAUCAGGGGACAAUGAGACGUGAUGAAGAAGUAGAGACAGUGAGAACAUAACAGUGGACAUCAGGGGACAAUGAGACGUGAUGAAGAAGUAGAGACAGUGAGAACAUAACAGUGGACAUCAGGGGACAAUGAGACGUGAUGAAGAAGUAGAGACAGUGAGAACAUAACAGUGGACAUCAGGGGACAAUGAGACGUGAUGAAGAAGUAGAGACAGUGAGAACAUAAUAGUGGACAUCAGGGGACAAUGAGACGUGAUGAAGAAGUAGAGACAGUGAGAACAUAACAGUGGACAUCAGGGGACAAUGAGACGUGAUGAAGAAGAAACAGUGAGAACAGAAUAGUGGACAUCAGGGGACAAUGAGGCGUGAUGAAGAACCCUCCUAUGACAUCAUCACGUGUCUCUGCGCUGACUUGUUGCAUCACUUCCUGUCCGUCUGUAACCACAUGUUUAC